AUAUUACUAAGCGGAGGAAAAGAAAUUAACUAAGAUUGCCUUAGUAAGGGCGACUGAACCGGCAAGAGCUCGAAAUUGGAAUCGGGGAUUCAAAGAAUCUUCGAAUUGUAAUCAGGUCCGCCUAAAUACGAGAGUUCGUUUAAGUAUGUCGAAACGUACGCCAUGGAGGGUGAAAGCCCCGUGUAGCGUUCUCUCGAGUAAGGGGGAUCCCAUAAGAGUCGGGUUGCUUGGAACUGCAGCCUAAGCGGGAGAUAUGAAUCUUCCAAAGCUAAAUAUGGAUGGGAGACCGAUAGCGCACAAGUA
RNAcentral lists this ribosomal RNA (303 nucleotides) under uncultured Spathidium. RNAcentral's name for it is "partial large subunit ribosomal RNA". It matches the Rfam family "Eukaryotic large subunit ribosomal RNA", at positions 40 to 350 of the family's 3401-position model. Lineage: Eukaryota; Ciliophora; Litostomatea; Haptorida; Spathidiidae. The record is from RNAcentral.